This 1276-nucleotide ribosomal RNA is filed under the name Brontispa longissima. RNAcentral's name for it is "16S ribosomal RNA". The stretch from base 846 to 1205 matches the Rfam family "Archaeal large subunit ribosomal RNA", at positions 2150 to 2716 of the family's 2987-position model. Lineage: Eukaryota; Metazoa; Arthropoda; Insecta; Coleoptera; Chrysomelidae. The record is from RNAcentral.
UUUAUGAGUGAUUUAUUUUUUAAAAAUGUUUAUUUAAUUUUAAUUAAAUUAUUAGGAUUUUAUUAUUUUUUUUGAAAAAAUUUUUUUAAUUAUAGUUUAGUUGUAUUGAGGAAGAUUUUUUGUUUUAAUUAAAAAGAAUAAUUGAUUUUUAGUACCUUGUGUAUCAGGGUUAAUUAAACAUAAUUUAAAAUUAAUUUUUCUCGAAUUAAAAAGGUCUAUUAAUAUAUAAAUUUUAAUGUUGAAUAAUUAUUUUUAAUAUAUUUAUAGUAAUGAAACGUUAUUCGUUUUUUAAUAUAUCUAGUUUUUUAAGAAAUUAAUUUAAUUAAUCUAAUAUUAAUAUAUAUAUUUAUUUUUAAUCUAUAUUAUUAUUAAGAAAGAGGCCAAGGGUUAAGCUUUGGUUUUUAAAAUUAAUAAUGUUUUUUAUUCAAAGGUUAAUAGAAUUAGAAUUUUUUAAUUAUAAAAGUUUUUUAUAAAUAAUCUUUGUAGGUUAAUAUUUAUUUAAUUUAUAAGUUUUUUAUUAAAAUGAAUUCUUUAAUUUUAAAGGAUUUGUAAUGAUGAUUAAAUUAGUAGAUAUUUAUUGUGAGAUUUAAGUUAAAGUUUUAUUAAUAAUAUAGGAAUUCGGCAAGUAUAAUUUUCACCUGUUUAAUAAAAACAUGUCCUCUUGAUUUUAAUUUGAGGUCUAACCUGCCCGCUGAUGAUUGAAUGGCCGCAGUAUUUUGACUGUGCUAAGGUAGCAUAAUCAUUAGUUUCUUAAUUAGAAGCUUGUAUGAAGGGUUGAAUGAGAAAUUGACUAUCUUUAUUAUUGUAGUUGAAUUUUACCUUUUAGUAAAAAGGCUAAAAUGGUUUUAUGGGACGAGAAGACCCUAUAGAGUUUUACAUAUUAAUAAUUAUUAUUUUUUGGAAUUUAUUAUUUAAUUAAAAGAUAUGUUUGAUUGGGGUGAUCAGAAAAUUAAUAUAACUUUUUUUUAUUAAAACAAUAAUUUUUGAUUAAAUGAUCCUUAUUAAAGAUUAAAAGACUAAAUUACCUUAGGGAUAACAGCGUAAUUUUUUUGGAGAGUUCAAAUCGAUAAAAGAGAUUGCGACCUCGAUGUUGGAUUAGAAUUAAUGUUUGGUGCAGGAGUCAAAUUAUUAGGUCUGUUCGACCUUUAAUAUUCUACAUGAUCUGAGUUUAAACCGGUGUGAGCCAGGUUGGUUUCUAUCUAUAAAGAAUUAAUUUAUUAUAGUACGAAAGGAUUUAAUAGAUGAUUAAAAAUUUUUUUUUUUAUUGAAUAGUAGU